CUACCAUUUCAGACAAAUUGUGAUAAGCCUGAGUUAAUAAUUUGUUUUUGUAUAUUCCCAGUUAGACGUUGAUAUUCAAAGGUAGGAGUCAUCUAGUUUCCCCUUGGAGCCCUUUUUAAGCAUCCGUGCUGAUCAUCAUGAAUGUGCACAGCAGGCCAACCACAAUGGAUCAGAGAAUUUGGGAAGAGUGUGUCUCAGUGGAAUCUGGGACUGGUGACCAGAGAGGGCACCCAAGGUCUCAGCUAUCAACUGUGAGAUUUCUGAUUCUUCUUUUCAUAUCUGCCAAACAUUAUCAAAAAUACCAUGAUUUCAAUAUAAUUACUUAUAAAAAAAGAAAGAGCUGGGCUCACUUCUCACCUAAUUUAUGGAUGCAAAUAUAUGCAUAUAAUAUAGGAACGACUCUUUUAGUUCUCAGAUUUAAUAGCACAGAGGUUUUUUCCAGGAUAGAGUAAAAUAUCUCUCAAUGCAGGAAUGGCC
RNAcentral lists this long non-coding RNA (477 nucleotides) under Marmota monax (woodchuck). The record is from RNAcentral. Lineage: Eukaryota; Metazoa; Chordata; Mammalia; Rodentia; Sciuridae.